CUUAGGACAAGGCACAAUAUAUAAGGCAACAACCACAGUAUUAUAUCAAAAUCACAGUAACCCAAAAUAGUAAAAUGAUUCCAAAUAAUUCAGUUUAAACUAUUAGAAUUCAAAUAAACAUAAAAUCAGCUUAUACUAUAUAGUAUAGUAUUAUAAUUACUAUCUAUAGGUUCCUUUACCAGUAAAUUCAUGCAUUCUGUGCAUAAAGGUGUGGUUACCAAAAAUAAUCUAAUGCACUUUUAUUCAAAUUAAGGGAAUGUCUCACCAUAGUCAGCUAGUCAGUAUUUCUACUGACCUGGCUCUUGAAUUGGGGUAGAAAUGAAGUGGAUCGGUGAGGUCCAUUCCAGCCAAUCAUGGCGUUCGUGCUCGUGCACAGGAGGUGGGAGGCUAUAAAGAGGGCAAUGGGAGCGCAAAACAUGGAAACUCUAGUGCACGUCAAUGCUACAGAGCGGAGACGGGGUGACAGCAGACAAAUAGCCUAAGAGGAAACGGACAGAGGAAUAUACGUUUAAAAAGAAAGGCUACCAUCAGGCUAGGGGGAACACCUGCGUCAACACUGGUGUGGCUUUCCAGUGGUGGAGAGACCUGCGGGAGCUGAGAGGCCUGAAAACACAUGCAGGAGGUUGCUCUGUUUCUCCUUGAUAGGGUCACCUGUGCCAGUGUGCGUGAUACUGACAGACACAUAAGAAUGCCUGCAGAUCCAUUUUAGAAGAUCUGUGCCAGAGACCCGAGGAAAAAGAUGAGUCUGAGGUUUUAAGGUCCACAAAGCAAGUAAGUGGCCCUCUUUUUCUUCUGUUCCUUUGUUAAAAGGUCAAGAAUGUACAUGCAUGCCCAAAACCUAAAAGAAGUAUUAUUAUUCUAGGCAUGUUGUGGACUUUCCCCCCUAAUAUCUGAGAUUCUUUGGCCCUACAUGGUUUGUUUCCAUGAUCCAGCUAUGGCAGACUGCAUUCACUGUUUGGAUGGCAAAGAUAUAGCUAUUUUUGCACCGUUUAUGCCUUUUUAUGUAGUGUGCAAGAUGUGACUGACUGACUGAUCUGAUUUGCAUAAAUAACUAAAUGUCCCCAGUGAGACAUACCAAAUAUACCGCUUUUGAUUUUUCAGCGUGAGUCAUCGUGUAUCUUAUAAGGAAUAACACAGCUGGGUUUAUUUUCUUUAUUAUACUUAGAUACUCUUACUGAUGUAAUAUAUUCAAUGACAGACAUAAUUAGUGGCAUAUUUGUUGAGGAUAAACUGAAUACUUCCUCCUCCAUUCCCUGUCAAAAAAAGAGGCAAAACCCAGGGCAAAAAAUAUCCAAUAUGUAUUUGCUGUACCGCUGGCUGCUACUUGUUAAAGGUGAUUGCAGACUAAAAUCUCAUCCUUGGAUUUUGACACGUGAUUUAACUGUCCAUUAUGAGUCCAGUAAUGUUAUAAGGGUGUGAUGCUGAAAUUGCUGAAAUAAGCUUUUUUAAAAAGCUUAAGUGAGAUACUGCAUGUUUGUUUUGGUCCGAAGUCUCCUGUUAUCCUCUAUUUCAGCCCACUUAAAUAUCACCUUUAUUUACUUUAGUUUAGCAUGUUAAUGUCACCUUGCACUGCUGCUGUGAAUGAGGACAUGCAUCAGGAGAUGACAAGACUACCUGAGAUUGAACUUGACCUGUAAGAUAGGUGUUUAUUUUUUACCAUAUGCUGUACAUGCUUGCCAGGAAGUUAGCAAAUGAGAGAAAAAAAAGAAAGUAAAAACACAAACCAGAGAGCAGAAUUGGGUUAGUUAAUUUCCAUCCAAAACAUUUUUAUUGUCCUCCAAACUGAAAGGGUUACCCUGUGAUUUGGCUUGUUCACUGAGCCAAAAACAUACAUUGCAUUUCUUCAGGUAGCAGUGGAGGCAUACAAAGAUCUUUUUUUUGACUGAGAGAAACUAAUGGAAAGAGCAAUACAGGAUUCUCUCCUUCAAGUCACAUGAUGAGUAAUCUUUGCAUUCAUGAGUAAUGGAGAGAAGAUUAAUUUCAGAUCACGGGAAGCUUGAGAAAGUAGCAUCUGGUCUUCCAUAAAGGAGAAAGGGGGGGGGGGGGGUGAGAAACAACCGUAUGAA
Molecule: long non-coding RNA, 2066 nt
Organism: Lates calcarifer (barramundi perch)
Lineage: Eukaryota; Metazoa; Chordata; Actinopteri; Centropomidae
Exons: 2
Source: RefSeq, a predicted model, not a curated record